Molecule: ribosomal RNA, 311 nt
Filed under: Hanseniaspora uvarum
Lineage: Eukaryota; Fungi; Ascomycota; Saccharomycetes; Saccharomycodales; Saccharomycodaceae
Description: LSU rRNA
Rfam family: Eukaryotic large subunit ribosomal RNA
Source: RNAcentral
UUCAGUGCCCGAGUUGUAAUUUGUAGAAUUUGUCUUUGAUUAGGUCCUUGUCUAUGUUCCUUGGAACAGGACGUCAUAGAGGGUGAGAAUCCCGUUUGGCGAGGAUACCUUUUCUCUGUAAGACUUUUUCGAAGAGUCGAGUUGUUUGGGAAUGCAGCUCAAAGUGGGUGGUAAAUUCCAUCUAAAGCUAAAUAUUGGCGAGAGACCGAUAGCGAACAAGUACAGUGAUGGAAAGAUGAAAAGAACUUUGAAAAGAGAGUGAAAAAGUACGUGAAAUUGUUGAAAGGGAAGGGCAUUUGAUCAGACAUGGU